ACGUAUGGUGCAAGCGUUAUCCGGAUUUACUGGGUGUAAAGGGAGCGUAGACGGUUGUGUAAGUCUGAUGUGAAAGCCCGGGGCUCAACCCCGGGACUGCAUUGGAAACUAUGUAACUAGAGUGUCGGAGAGGUAAGCGGAAUUCCUAGUGUAGCGGUGAAAUGCGUAGAUAUUAGGAGGAACACCAGUGGCGAAGGCGGCUUACUGGACGAUCACUGACGUUGAGGCUCGAAAGCGUGGGGAGCAAACAG
Molecule: ribosomal RNA, 251 nt
Filed under: uncultured bacterium
Lineage: Bacteria
Description: partial 16S ribosomal RNA
Rfam family: Bacterial small subunit ribosomal RNA
Source: RNAcentral